UGGGGAAUAUUGCACAAUGGGCGCAAGCCUGAUGCAGCAACGCCGCGUGAACGAUGAAGGUCUUCGGAUCGUAAAGUUCUGUUGCAGGGGAAGAUAAUGACGGUACCCUGUGAGGAAGCCCCGGCUCACUACGUGCCAGCAGCCGCGGUAAUACGUAGGGGGCUAGCGUUAUCCGGAUUUACUGGGCGUAAAGGGUGCGUAGGUGGUCUUUCAAGUCGGUGGUUAAAGGCUACGGCUCAACCGUAGUUAGCCUCCGAAACUGGAAGACUUGAGUGCAGGAGAGGAAAGUGGAAUUCCCAGUGUAGCGGUGAAAUGCGUAGAUAUUGGGAGGAACACCAGUAGCGAAGGCGGCUUUCUGGACUGCAACUGACACUGAGGCACGAAAGCGUGGGUAGCAAACAGG
This 403-nucleotide ribosomal RNA is filed under the name Verrucomicrobiota bacterium. RNAcentral describes it as "Verrucomicrobia bacterium partial 16S ribosomal RNA". It matches the Rfam family "Bacterial small subunit ribosomal RNA", at positions 355 to 776 of the family's 1533-position model. The record is from RNAcentral. Lineage: Bacteria; Pseudomonadati; Verrucomicrobiota.